This is a long non-coding RNA of Cyprinus carpio (common carp), 1609 nucleotides long. The record is from Ensembl. Lineage: Eukaryota; Metazoa; Chordata; Actinopteri; Cypriniformes; Cyprinidae.
GAAACUACAGGAAUGCCCAUGAUGUUUUGUUCAGCAUGUACACUGAGCUUUAGACACAGCACAUUAAAAUCCCAGCAGAGAUGGCCACAAACCUGAUGAUCCUGCACAGCUACAUAGUGAUGAAGACAUUGUCCCCAUCCUCACAUCAGCGGUUAUUGAAUGUCAUCGUGCUGGACUAAGGAACUCUGCCUUCAGUUUUGCCUCUAUGCUGAUGAGACCAGCGUAUCGUAACAAGAUUGAUCUCAAAUACAAGAAGAAGAUAGAGGCCAUGGUCCAGUAAGAAACACAAGGGAAAUAUAAUAAGAAUUAAAUACUCCAAUUAAUAGCGUAGUUUAUUUGCACACACACUGUUUUGCUUUAGCACAAUGCUAUUUCAGUGCAGUUAGGUUCUGUUUAAACCAGUGGUUCUGGACCUUUUUGACUUCAAACCCCCCGCUACGAGAGAUACAAACUCAAGAAAAAAAGUCAGAAUUGCGAGUUUGUAUAGCAUGAUUCCGAGAAAAAAAAUCUGAAUUGCGAUAUCAAAGUGCAAUUGUGAGAAAAAAAGAGCUCACCCUGUCCCUACUGCGGCUUCAGCCUGCCUGACUGUGAGCUGCUCUGUCCCGGCUGCAAAAACAAUCUGCCCCACCAUAUCGCCACAGUGAGUACAGACAACGUAAUCUACUGCAUCACUGCACUGCCUGAACACAAGCAGAUCUUGCUCCAAGGAAGAGACCUACAGCUUCAGUUCCACAGUGUAAACAUCAUAGAGAACUGCCAGAAACCCAGGCCCUAUUUUAACUUCCUCUCUAGGUGCUAUAUAUAUUUCAUUCUUGACUUGUCUGUGACUGUAAUGAGAGGAAUGACAAUAAACUUGACAUUUUGGUGUGUAUAUGCAGGCGCACACAGUUAUGCAGUUUGUCUGAUAGAUGUGUGUGUCAUUAUUUUCAUGGUCAACACUUGGUCAAGGAGGAUUGGUGUGUCUGCCCACACUGUGAUUUCCCUGCUCUCUAUUCGCAGUUCACUCAGCUCUUAGAGACUGAGUCGGUUUUCCCCAUGUGCACUGAGACUUUAAAUGUCAGUGAGAUGAAAAAAGUUUCGGACUGCUCCAGAUAUCUGCACCAGGACCAACUGGAGCACUGAGAUCCAGAGGGCAAGAAAAGAGAAAUGAAAGGGUAAUGAAAAAAAUCUUGCUGCUUUUACUUUAAUGAGACCACUAAUGAAACUCUUGAGUCUAAUGAAAUGCACCUGUUUUGCAUUUUGCAUAAUCUGCAUAAAGUUUUGGUACGUAAAUUAACAAUAUUUUUUUUUUUUUUUUACAUGGAAUUUAUUUUAACAUUCAAUUUUCAAGUAAUAGUUUACCCCAAAAUGAAAAUGCUGUCAUCAUUUACUCACUCUCAUGUAAUUCCAAAUAUGUAUGAUUUUUUUCUUCUGUAGAACAUAAAAGUAAGAUAUUUGUAAGAAUGCUGGCAACCAAACAGGUUUGGUAUUUGCAUAAGGCGAUCUGAUUGGAGGACGCCAACACCUGACGUCACUCCAUUAAAAGUAAACGAGAGGCGUUGAAUGGGCCGUCAGAGAUAACACUUUCUAACUCUUAUUUUUGCAUAAUAAAUUAACAUUUGAGAUUACA